This 253-nucleotide ribosomal RNA is filed under the name uncultured bacterium. Its description in RNAcentral is "partial 16S ribosomal RNA". It matches the Rfam family "Bacterial small subunit ribosomal RNA", at positions 524 to 776 of the family's 1533-position model. The record is from RNAcentral.
UACAGAGGUGCCGAGCGUUAGGCGGAAUCACUGGGCUUAAAGCGUGUGUAGGCGGCCCGUUAAGUGUCUUGUGAAAUCCCCCGGCUCAACCGGGGAACGGCUGGGCAUACUGGCGGGCUUGGGUCGCUCAGGGGCAGACGGAACAGGCGGUGGAGCGGUGAAAUGCGUAGAUAUCGCCUGGAACGCCGAAGGUGAAAACAGUCUGCUGGGGGCGCACCGACGCUGAGACACGAAAGCCAGGGGAGCGAACGGG